Molecule: non-coding RNA, 156 nt
Filed under: chicken gut metagenome
Description: Lysine riboswitch
Rfam family: Lysine riboswitch aptamer
About the family: Riboswitches are metabolite binding domains within certain messenger RNAs that serve as precision sensors for their corresponding targets. Allosteric rearrangement of mRNA structure is mediated by ligand binding, and this results in modulation of gene expression.
Source: RNAcentral
UUGAUAGAGGAGCGGAACACAUCAGUAUAACGCAGAGCGGGAGCGAUGAAGCGUUUGAAAGGGCAACCGCCGAAGUUUAAAAAGCAGCCAUGUUUUUUAUGCUGGGCCGUCAGUGAAUAACUGCCGGACUGUCGCCACAAAGGCGGAGGGCUAUCU